Molecule: ribosomal RNA, 270 nt
Filed under: uncultured archaeon
Lineage: Archaea
Description: partial 16S ribosomal RNA
Rfam family: Archaeal small subunit ribosomal RNA
Source: RNAcentral
CAGCACCUCAAGUUGUCAGGAUGAUUAUUGGGCCUAAAGCAUCCGUAGCCGGCGCUGUAAGUUUUCGGUUAAAUCUGUACGCUCAACGUACAGGCUGCCGGGAAUACUGCAGCGCUAGGGAGUGGGAGAGGUAGACGGUACUCGGUAGGAAGGGGUAAAAUCCUUUGAUCUAUUGAUGACCACCUGUGGCGAAGGCGGUCUACCAGAACACGUCCGACGGUGAGGGAUGAAAGCUGGGGGAGCAAACCGGAUUAGAUACCCGAGUAGUCC